CAAAUAGCGUAUAUUAAAGUUGUUGCAGUUAAAAAGCUCGUAGUUGAACUUCGGGGUUUACCCAUUGGUCAGGCUUAAUUGUCUGUACUGGUGAGAUAAAUCUCUACCUUCUGAGGAACUUUCAUGCCAUUUAUUUGGUGUGAUAGGAAAUCAGGACUGUUACUUUGAAAAAAUUAGAGUGUUUAAAGCAGGCUAACGUCUGAAUACAUUAGCAUGGAAUAAUGAAAUAGGACGGACUGAUUCUAUUUCGUUGGUUUCUAGGAUCACCGUAAUGAUUAAUAGGGAUAGUUGGGGGCAUUAGUAUUCAAUUGUCAGAGGUGAAAUUCUUGGAUUUAUUGAAGACUAACUACUGCGAAAGCAUUUGCCAAGGAUGUUUUCAUUAAUCAAGAACGAAAGUUAGGGGAUCGAAGACGAUCAGAUACCGUCGUAGUCUUAACCAUAAACUAUGCCGACUAGGGAUCGGACGAAGUUAAUUUUAUAAUGACGCGUUCGGCACCUUAC
This 501-nucleotide ribosomal RNA is filed under the name uncultured Glomeromycotina. Its description in RNAcentral is "partial small subunit ribosomal RNA". It matches the Rfam family "Eukaryotic small subunit ribosomal RNA", at positions 591 to 1091 of the family's 1831-position model. The record is from RNAcentral. Lineage: Eukaryota; Fungi; Glomeromycota.